Molecule: ribosomal RNA, 378 nt
Filed under: Triticum aestivum (bread wheat)
Lineage: Eukaryota; Viridiplantae; Streptophyta; Magnoliopsida; Poales; Poaceae
Description: partial small subunit ribosomal RNA
Source: RNAcentral
AUGGAAGACCUGGACAACUUCUUUGGUCAGCUUGACCUAGAAGAUGAGGUGUUCGAUGACCUAGUAAUCAAUGAAGUGGUCCCGGAGAUCAAUGAGCGUGUCCGCUGGAUGGCUCUUGCCCGUGUUCAUACGGACGAGUCCUUCAACCACUCGGCAUUCUUCAAGGACAUGAGGGCGGCGUGGAACGCGGCACAACCGGUGAGGUUCAGGCCAGUCGGGGCCAAUUUGUUCAUUGUGCAAGCAUCUUGUUUGGGCAAUUGGGAAAGAAUCAUGCAUCAAGGCCCUUGGUUAUUCAGAUUCUGGGCAGUGUUUCUCCAUCCUUAUGAUGGUUUGAGCAGAGCCGAGGACACACAGAUUGUACACAUGCCAAUCUGGCUA